RNAcentral lists this ribosomal RNA (450 nucleotides) under uncultured bacterium. RNAcentral describes it as "bacterial SSU rRNA". It matches the Rfam family "Bacterial small subunit ribosomal RNA", at positions 354 to 796 of the family's 1533-position model. The record is from RNAcentral.
GUCGAGGAUAUUUAGCAAUGGACGAAAGUCUGACUAUGUGACGCCGCGUGAGGGAUGAAGGCCUUCGGGUCGUAAACCUCUUUCGAUGAGAAAGAAGAGUUCAGGGUGAAUAGCCCUGAAUUUUGACGGUACUCAGAGAAGAAGCCACGGCCAACUCUGUGCCAGCAGCCGCGGUAAUACAGAGGUGGCGAGCGUUACUCGGAUUUAUUGGGUGUAAAGGGCAGGUAGGCGUUUCAUUAAGUUAGAGGUGAAAUCCUAAGGCUUAACCUUAGAACUGCUUCUAAGACUGAUGGAAUUGAGACUAGAAGAGGAAAGCGGAAUUCCCGGUGUAAGGGUGAAAUCUGUAGAUAUCGGGAGGAACACCAGUGGCGAAGGCGGCUUUCUGGUCUAGAUCUGACGCUGAGCUGCGAAAGCUCGGGGAGCAAACAGGAUUAGAAACCCCUGUAGUCC